RNAcentral lists this unclassified non-coding RNA (1940 nucleotides) under Owenia fusiformis. Its description in RNAcentral is "misc RNA OFUS_LOCUS14010". The record is from RNAcentral. Lineage: Eukaryota; Metazoa; Annelida; Polychaeta; Sabellida; Oweniidae.
AAACCCCCCGAACUGGCCUGGCAAGGUGGUAAUAAUAGAAUUUGAUGAAUUAAAACUAUCUAGUACAGUUCAAAUCACAAUCUAAGUCAAUCCUUCUUUUGGUCAAAGGUUAAAAUAAUAUUUGACUUCUUAUGUUGACAGAUUACAGAUGAUUUCUAUGAACUUAUGUCUUGUGAUUUGCUUGUGACUGCUUCAGAAAAAUACUAUGUAUAGAUGAUCUAGAUGUAAUGACGGACAAAGUCAAAAUAUCAAUACGUGAGAUACUGAUUGGAAUUAGGUUAAAAGAAAAGUUUGUGAUUUAGAUUGCCCCCAAGAAGUAAGAUGACCGCAGAAACCAUAAGUCUGUAUGUAAAGGUGCCACCAGACAGCUUUACUGCUGACCAAGAGACAGAGAAUGUUCUGUUAGGCCUAGGACCACUUUGCCUGAAGGGAUGUAUGGACAACCCAACAUGUGUUCAGCUUGGUACACCUGGGAAUAAACUAUACACAUUUGUCAAUGAAGAGGGCAGUCAUGCCUCAAUGAGAAUCUACAGUCAUGGUUUGGUGACCUUCGAUAUACAGUACCUUAUUCAAGAUGGAACCAGUCCAUAUAACAUGGAUUACAUUCGGAACUUGCAAAGCAAGAUUAAACAAUACCUAGGAACCCUAACCACAGAGGUCAACAGUCUGUAUACCCCUAUUAAACGUGGGGGUCCUGUCUGGCCCUACACAGUUGCCGGUGAUGAGAGACUCAUAGAGGCAGACUAUGAUGCAGUUGUUAGUAAUGUCGAUUCAAGAUGGCAAAAUAUACUCAUAAUGCACUCCAAGGAGCAUGGCAACGUGCUAAGGCUAGACCAUGACACAAUGUAUGGAGAGAGUGACAAAAUCUACAUAGACACUUUAUGCCAACUUGGUAGAUUAGACUUCAAAAAUAAAGAAAUCCUCAUCCUUGGAGGUGGAGAUGGAGGGAUAAUACAUGAACUGCAAAAGGAGAACCCCAAAAUGAUAACAAUGGCUGAAAUAGAUGAGGAAGUGAUUAAAGUGUGUCGGAAACAUUUGAGAAGUGUUUGUGGAGAUACUAUGGAUACAUUUAUAGGCCCAAAUUAUAAAAUCCUAAUAAAAGACUGUGUAGAUGUUCUCAAGCAAGCCAUAGAAUCAGGGAAGAAAUAUGACUUUGUCAUCAAUGAUCUCACAGAAUUUCCAGUAGACAAAGAAUCAAAAGGGUUUGAUUAUGACUUUGAGACAGCCAGUCAAGUAUUAGAGAUGUCCCUACAGACAAUCAAAGACUCUGGAAAAUACUUAGCCAGGGGUAACACAAAGAGUGCAGUAGAAUAUCGUGAAGGUUUUGAGAGAGACGUUAGAAAACUGGGUGCAACUUUUACUAGGAGGGAUGUCCAUGUGCCAUCUUUCUAUGAGGUCUAUUCCCUUUAUGAGAUAUGGAAGUUAUCCACUACAUAGACAUAUUCUCUGUUUGAAAUAUGAAAGGUGCAUGAGAUAUCCACUACAAUUACAGUAUCCACAACAUAGACAUAUUGCCUGUAUAAGAUAUGAAAGUUAUCCACUAUAUAGACAUAUUCUCUCUAUGAGAUAUGAAAGUGAUCCACUACAAGGACCCAUCUUUCACUGUAUGAGAUAUAGAAGUCAUCUACUACAGAGACAUAUUUUCCAUAUGAGAUAUGAAAAUUUUCUUCUUCAUAUACAGAUACAAUUCAAAUGCUGUAUUAUAAUCAAACCAGCAUAAAAUGCAGAGCAUUACAUCUUUUAGGAACUUAUAUUUUUCUGAAAAGGUUUGAAUAAAAGUAAUGUGUUUGUUAUUUUCUGUUGGCUUGGAUCUUAAUAUUAAAAGAAAGAUACCAAUCUUUAUGCAUGCAUGGGUGUUGUAAUAAUUUAACAUCUGGAAUAAUCUGGUACAUAAUCAAUUAGAAGUCAUAUUUGCAGUUUCUGAAACAGUUAUAUUACCC